UACGGGGGGGGCAAGCGGUUGUUCGGAAUUACUGGGCGUAAAGGGCGCGUAGGCGGCUCAAUCAGUCGGGCGUGAAAGCUCUGGGCUUAACCCAGAAAAGUCGUUCGAUACUGUUGGGCUAGAGUGUGGAAGAGGCUACUGGAAUUCCGUGUGUAGCGGUGAAAUGCGUAGAUAUACGGAGGAACACCUGCGGCGAAGGCGGGUGAGCUGGGC
Molecule: ribosomal RNA, 213 nt
Filed under: uncultured bacterium
Lineage: Bacteria
Description: partial 16S ribosomal RNA
Rfam family: Bacterial small subunit ribosomal RNA
Source: RNAcentral